GCUUCCUUGGUUUAAUGAAUAGAACGUUCGGCUACGGACCGGAAGAUGUGGGUUUGAUUCCUGCAGGAAGUACCA
This 75-nucleotide transfer RNA is filed under the name Clostridia bacterium. Its description in RNAcentral is "tRNA-Arg". It matches the Rfam family "tRNA". From Rfam's summary of the family: Transfer RNA (tRNA) molecules are approximately 80 nucleotides in length. Their secondary structure includes four short double-helical elements and three loops (D, anti-codon, and T loops). The record is from RNAcentral. Lineage: Bacteria; Bacillati; Bacillota; Clostridia.